This is a non-coding RNA of Gossypium raimondii (Peruvian cotton), 45 nucleotides long. The record is from Rfam. NCBI's taxonomy places the organism in Eukaryota, Viridiplantae, Streptophyta, Magnoliopsida, Malvales, Malvaceae.
UUAGUGGAGUUUUUUAACUCCACAAAUAAAAUUAAAUGAUUGACA